AGCGUACACGGUGGAUGCCCUGGCAGUCAGAGGCGAUGAAGGACGUGCUAAUCUGCGAUAAGCGUCGGUAAGGUGAUAUGAACCGUUAUAACCGGCGAUUUCCGAAUGGGGAAACCCAGUGUGUUUCGACACACUAUCAUUAACUGAAUCCAUAGGUUAAUGAGGCGAACCGGGGGAACUGAAACAUCUAAGUACCCCGAGGAAAAGAAAUCAACCGAGAUUCCCCCAGUAGCGGCGAGCGAACGGGGAGCAGCCCAGAGCCUGAAUCAGUGUGUGUGUUAGUGGAAGCGUCUGGAAAGGCGCGCGAUACAGGGUGACAGCCCCGUACACAAAAAUGCACAUACUGUGAGCUCGAUGAGUAGGGCGGGACACGUGGUAUCCUGUCUGAAUAUGGGGGGACCAUCCUCCAAGGCUAAAUACUCCUGACUGACCGAUAGUGAACCAGUACCGUGAGGGAAAGGCGAAAAGAACCCCGGCGAGGGGAGUGAAAAAGAACCUGAAACCGUGUACGUACAAGCAGUGGGAGCCUCUUUUAUGGGGUGACUGCGUACCUUUUGUAUAAUGGGUCAGCGACUUAUAUUCUGUAGCAAGGUUAACCGAAUAGGGGAGCCGAAGGGAAACCGAGUCUUAACUGGGCGUUAAGUUGCAGGGUAUAGACCCGAAACCCGGUGAUCUAGCCAUGGGCAGGUUGAAGGUUGGGUAACACUAACUGGAGGACCGAACCGACUAAUGUUGAAAAAUUAGCGGAUGACUUGUGGCUGGGGGUGAAAGGCCAAUCAAACCGGGAGAUAGCUGGUUCUCCCCGAAAGCUAUUUAGGUAGCGCCUCGUGAAUUCAUCUCCGGGGGUAGAGCACUGUUUCGGCAAGGGGGUCAUCCCGACUUACCAACCCGAUGCAAACUGCGAAUACCGGAGAAUGUUAUCACGGGAGACACACGGCGGGUGCUAACGUCCGUCGUGAAGAGGGAAACAACCCAGACCGCCAGCUAAGGUCCCAAAGUCAUGGUUAAGUGGGAAACGAUGUGGGAAGGCCCAGACAGCCAGGAUGUUGGCUUAGAAGCAGCCAUCAUUUAAAGAAAGCGUAAUAGCUCACUGGUCGAGUCGGCCUGCGCGGAAGAUGUAACGGGGCUAAACCAUGCACCGAAGCUGCGGCAGCGACGCUGAUGCGUUGUUGGGUAGGGGAGCGUUCUGUAAGCCUGUGAAGGUGUGCUGUGAGGCAUGCUGGAGGUAUCAGAAGUGCGAAUGCUGACAUAAGUAACGAUAAAGCGGGUGAAAAGCCCGCUCGCCGGAAGACCAAGGGUUCCUGUCCAACGUUAAUCGGGGCAGGGUGAGUCGACCCCUAAGGCGAGGCCGAAAGGCGUAGUCGAUGGGAAACAGGUUAAUAUUCCUGUACUUGGUGUUACUGCGAAGGGGGGACGGAGAAGGCUAUGUUGGCCGGGCGACGGUUGUCCCGGUUUAAGCGUGUAGGCUGGUUUUCCAGGCAAAUCCGGAAAAUCAAGGCUGAGGCGUGAUGACGAGGCACUACGGUGCUGAAGCAACAAAUGCCCUGCUUCCAGGAAAAGCCUCUAAGCAUCAGGUAACAUCAAAUCGUACCCCAAACCGACACAGGUGGUCAGGUAGAGAAUACCAAGGCGCUUGAGAGAACUCGGGUGAAGGAACUAGGCAAAAUGGUGCCGUAACUUCGGGAGAAGGCACGCUGAUAUGUAGGUGAAGCGACUUGCUCGUGGAGCUGAAAUCAGUCGAAGAUACCAGCUGGCUGCAACUGUUUAUUAAAAACACAGCACUGUGCAAACACGAAAGUGGACGUAUACGGUGUGACGCCUGCCCGGUGCCGGAAGGUUAAUUGAUGGGGUCAGCGCAAGCGAAGCUCUUGAUCGAAGCCCCGGUAAACGGCGGCCGUAACUAUAACGGUCCUAAGGUAGCGAAAUUCCUUGUCGGGUAAGUUCCGACCUGCACGAAUGGCGUAAUGAUGGCCAGGCUGUCUCCACCCGAGACUCAGUGAAAUUGAACUCGCUGUGAAGAUGCAGUGUACCCGCGGCAAGACGGAAAGACCCCGUGAACCUUUACUAUAGCUUGACACUGAACAUUGAGCCUUGAUGUGUAGGAUAGGUGGGAGGCUUAGAAGUGUGGACGCCAGUCUGCAUGGAGCCGACCUUGAAAUACCACCCUUUAAUGUUUGAUGUUCUAACGUUGACCCGUAAUCCGGGUUGCGGACAGUGUCUGGUGGGUAGUUUGACUGGGGCGGUCUCCUCCUAAAGAGUAACGGAGGAGCACGAAGGUUGGCUAAUCCUGGUCGGACAUCAGGAGGUUAGUGCAAUGGCAUAAGCCAGCUUGACUGCGAGCGUGACGGCGCGAGCAGGUGCGAAAGCAGGUCAUAGUGAUCCGGUGGUUCUGAAUGGAAGGGCCAUCGCUCAACGGAUAAAAGGUACUCCGGGGAUAACAGGCUGAUACCGCCCAAGAGUUCAUAUCGACGGCGGUGUUUGGCACCUCGAUGUCGGCUCAUCACAUCCUGGGGCUGAAGUAGGUCCCAAGGGUAUGGCUGUUCGCCAUUUAAAGUGGUACGCGAGCUGGGUUUAGAACGUCGUGAGACAGUUCGGUCCCUAUCUGCCGUGGGCGCUGGAGAACUGAGGGGGGCUGCUCCUAGUACGAGAGGACCGGAGUGGACGCAUCACUGGUGUUCGGGUUGUCAUGCCAAUGGCACUGCCCGGUAGCUAAAUGCGGAAGAGAUAAGUGCUGAAAGCAUCUAAGCACGAAACUUGCCCCGAGAUGAGUUCU
This 2773-nucleotide ribosomal RNA is filed under the name Escherichia coli. RNAcentral's name for it is "bacterial LSU rRNA". It matches the Rfam family "Bacterial large subunit ribosomal RNA". Lineage: Bacteria; Pseudomonadati; Pseudomonadota; Gammaproteobacteria; Enterobacterales; Enterobacteriaceae. The record is from RNAcentral.